GGUGAACGCUGGCGGUAGGCCUAACACAUGCAAGUCGAACGGCAGCACAGUAAGAGCUUGCUCUUACGGGUGGCGAGUGGCGGACGGGUGAGGAAUACAUCGGAAUCUACUUUUUCGUGGGGGAUAACGUAGGGAAACUUACGCUAAUACCGCAUACGACCUACGGGUGAAAGCAGGGGAUCUUCGGACCUUGCGCGAUUGAAUGAGCCGAUGUCGGAUUAGCUAGUUGGCGGGGUAAAGGCCCACCAAGGCGACGAUCCGUAGCUGGUCUGAGGGGAUGAUCAGCCACACUGGAACUGAGACACGGUCCAGACUCCUACGGGAGGCAGCAGUGGGGAAUAUUGGACAAAGGGCGCAAGCCUGAUCCAGCCAUACCGCGUGGGUGAAGAAGGCCUUCGGGUUGUAAAGCCCUUUUGUUGGGAAAGAAAAGCAGCAGGUUAAUACCCCGCUGUUCUGACGGUACCCAAAGAAUAAGCACCGGCUAACUUCGUG
RNAcentral lists this ribosomal RNA (492 nucleotides) under uncultured bacterium. RNAcentral's name for it is "partial 16S ribosomal RNA". It matches the Rfam family "Bacterial small subunit ribosomal RNA", at positions 28 to 507 of the family's 1533-position model. The record is from RNAcentral.